CACCUCUUGACACCAUAAGAGGCCCAGCCUGCCCAGUGACUUUGUUCAACGGCCGCGGUAUCCUAACCGUGCGAAGGUAGCGUAAUCACUUGUCUUCUAAAUAAAGACUAGUAUGAAAGGCACCACGAGGAUUAAACUGUCUCCCCCCUCUAAUCAGUGAACCUAAUCUCCCCGUGAAGAAGCGGGGGUAAAUUUAUAAGACGAGAAGACCCUAUGGAGCUUAAAACACCACCCACGUGCCACUUAAAUUCUCCACACUGAGGUACCCCCUACUAUAACCCGCACGCUGACUACAUGUUUUUGGUUGGGGUGACCGCGGAGAACAAACCAUCCUCCACGAUGAAUGGGAACUUCCCUAAACAACAAGCCACAACUUUACUUAUCAAUAAAUUGACAUUCAUUGACCCAAAUUAUUUUGACCAACGAACCAAGUUACCCUAGGGAUAACAGCGCAAUCCACUUCAAGAGCCCAUAUCGACAAGUGGGCUUACGACCUCGAUGUUGGAUCAGGGUAUCCCAGUGGUGUAGCCGCUACUAAAGGUUCGUUUGUUCAACGAUUAAAACCC
This 566-nucleotide ribosomal RNA is filed under the name Pristimantis cerasinus. RNAcentral describes it as "partial 16S ribosomal RNA". It matches the Rfam family "Bacterial large subunit ribosomal RNA", at positions 1816 to 2596 of the family's 2925-position model. Lineage: Eukaryota; Metazoa; Chordata; Amphibia; Anura; Strabomantidae. The record is from RNAcentral.